UGAGGAAUCUUGCGCAAUGGGGGAAACCCUGACGCAGCAACGCCGCGUGAGUGAAGAAGGCUUUCGGGUCGUAAAGCUCUGUCAGGUGGGAAGAAAUACUUGGCGCCAAUAACGCCAGGGGCUGACGGUACCACCAGAGGAAGCACCGGCUAACUCCGUGCCAGCAGCCGCGGUAAUACGGAGGGUGCAAGCGUUGUUCGGAAUUACUGGGCGUAAAGAGCGUGUAGGCGGUUGAUUAAGUCAGGUGUGAAAGCCCUUGGCUCAACCAAGGAAGUGCAUCUGAAACUAGUCAACUUGAGUACGGGAGAGGAGAGUGGAAUUCCUGGUGUAGAGGUGAAAUUCGUAGAUAUCAGGAGGAACACCGGUGGCGAAGGCGACUCUCUGGACCGAUACUGACGCUGAGACGCGAAAGCGUGGGGAGCAAACAGGAUUAGAUACCCCCGUAGUCC
RNAcentral lists this ribosomal RNA (449 nucleotides) under uncultured prokaryote. Its description in RNAcentral is "bacterial SSU rRNA". It matches the Rfam family "Bacterial small subunit ribosomal RNA", at positions 355 to 796 of the family's 1533-position model. The record is from RNAcentral.